GAUGAACGCUGGCGGCGUGCCUAAUACAUGCAAGUCGAGCGAACAGACGAGGAGCUUGCUCCUCUGACGUUAGCGGCGGACGGGUGAGUAACACGUGGAUAACCUACCUAUAAGACUGGGAUAACUUCGGGAAACCGGAGCUAAUGCCGGAUAACAUGUUGAACCGCAUGGUUCAACAGUGAAAGACGGUUUUGCUGUCACUUAUAGAUGGAUCCGCGUCGCAUUAGCUAGUUGGUAAGGUAACGGCUUACCAAGGCAACGAUGCGUAGCCGACCUGAGAGGGUGAUCGGCCACACUGGAACUGAGACACGGUCCAGACUCCUACGGGAGGCAGCAGUAGGGAAUCUUCCGCAAUGGGCGAAAGCCUGACGGAGCAACGCCGCGUGAGUGAAGAAGGUCUUCGGAUCGUAAAACUCUGUUAUUAGGGAAGAACAAAUGUGUAAGUAACUAUGCACGUCUUGACGGUACCUAAGCAGAAAGCCACGGCUAACUACGU
This 496-nucleotide ribosomal RNA is filed under the name uncultured bacterium. RNAcentral's name for it is "partial 16S ribosomal RNA". It matches the Rfam family "Bacterial small subunit ribosomal RNA", at positions 28 to 506 of the family's 1533-position model. The record is from RNAcentral.